Non-coding RNA from Ornithorhynchus anatinus (platypus), 140 nucleotides. The record is from Rfam. Lineage: Eukaryota; Metazoa; Chordata; Mammalia; Monotremata; Ornithorhynchidae.
CCCCUCUCAAGACUGCACCUGGAGAGUUUCACCAGGACUCUACCAGGCUCGGCUACAGGAGGCAGAGUCAAGCAGAGGCAUACCCAUUCCAUUCCUAGCUUGGGCAGUGGCUAGCAAGUGGAAGGUAAUCUGCUACAAGU